GCCCCGUACACAAAAAUGCACAUACUGUGAGCUCGAUGAGUAGGGCGGGACACGUGGUAUCCUGUCUGAAUAUGGGGGGACCAUCCUCCAAGGCUAAAUACUCCUGACUGACCGAUAGUGAACCAGUACCGUGAGGGAAAGGCGAAAAGAACCCCGGCGAGGGGAGUGAAAAAGAACCUGAAACCGUGUACGUACAAGCAGUGGGAGCCUCUUUUAUGGGGUGACUGCGUACCUUUUGUAUAAUGGGUCAGCGACUUAUAUUCUGUAGCAAGGUUAACCGAAUAGGGGAGCCGAAGGGAAACCGAGUCUUAACUGGGCGUUAAGUUGCAGGGUAUAGACCCGAAACCCGGUGAUCUAGCCAUGGGCAGGUUGAAGGUUGGGUAACACUAACUGGAGGACCGAACCGACUAAUGUUGAAAAAUUAGCGGAUGACUUGUGGCUGGGGGUGAAAGGCCAAUCAAACCGGGAGAUAGCUGGUUCUCCCCGAAAGCUAUUUAGGUAGCGCCUCGUGAAUUCAUCUCCGGGGGUAGAGCACUGUUUCGGCAAGGGGGUCAUCCCGACUUACCAACCCGAUGCAAACUGCGAAUACCGGAGAAUGUUAUCACGGGAGACACACGGCGGGUGCUAACGUCCGUCGUGAAGAGGGAAACAACCCAGACCGCCAGCUAAGGUCCCAAAGUCAUGGUUAAGUGGGAAACGAUGUGGGAAGGCCCAGACAGCCAGGAUGUUGGCUUAGAAGCAGCCAUCAUUUAAAGAAAGCGUAAUAGCUCACUGGUCGAGUCGGCCUGCGCGGAAGAUGUAACGGGGCUAAACCAUGCACCGAAGCUGCGGCAGCGACGCUUAUGCGUUGUUGGGUA
Molecule: ribosomal RNA, 857 nt
Filed under: Escherichia coli
Lineage: Bacteria; Pseudomonadati; Pseudomonadota; Gammaproteobacteria; Enterobacterales; Enterobacteriaceae
Description: partial 23S ribosomal RNA
Rfam family: Bacterial large subunit ribosomal RNA
Source: RNAcentral